This 271-nucleotide ribosomal RNA is filed under the name uncultured bacterium. RNAcentral describes it as "partial 16S ribosomal RNA". It matches the Rfam family "Bacterial small subunit ribosomal RNA", at positions 524 to 794 of the family's 1533-position model. The record is from RNAcentral.
UACGUAGGGUGCAAGCGUUAAUCGGAAUUACUGGGCGUAAAGCGUGUGUAGGUGGUUGUGCAAGACAGAUGUGAAAUCCCCGGGCUUAACCUGGGAACUGCAUUUGUGACUGCACGGCUAGAGUGUGUCAGAGGGGGGUAGAAUUCCACGUGUAGCAGUGAAAUGCGUAGAUAUGUGGAGGAAUACCGAUGGCGAAGGCAGUUUUUUGGGAUAACACUGACGCUCAUGCACGAAAGCGUGGGGAGCAAACAGGAUUAGAAACCCUAGUAGU